Molecule: long non-coding RNA, 8686 nt
Filed under: Lactuca sativa (garden lettuce)
Lineage: Eukaryota; Viridiplantae; Streptophyta; Magnoliopsida; Asterales; Asteraceae
Description: long non-coding RNA (LSAT_LNC001364)
Source: RNAcentral
GCUCUCAUUUUAAUUUCCACCUUCCCCGUUUCAAUUUUCCCUAUUUCUAGACCUAAUUCCAUUUUAAACACACCUGAUACGCUCAUCCCUCUCUUCCUUACCCUUUAUCUUCUCUAUAACCUACGCUGACAACACAUAUUUUCGGUCCACACACCGUGACCUCGCUUCUCACACAUCUGAUUGUCGAUCGAUCUUUGUAUGAGUCAAUUUCGACCUCUAAACGAGACAAGAAAAAACCCAAGAUGAAGAGGAUGAGAAAGAAGUUUCCUAGCCCCGGAAGAAGAAGAGGAAGAAGAAGUACCUGUGGAAGAUGCGAAACCAAUUGGUGACAUUGUUAGAGUUUCAGGAAAGGGUAAAACAAGGAGGAAUCAUUAUAAAUCAUUCAAAUCUAAUGGCCUUUCUAAAGAACUUGUGAGUACCUUUUCAUGUAAUAAUUCAGAUUCCUUUGCAUUUGUUCCUAGUUAUGUGGUUUUGCAUGCUUGAUGUUCUCUUACAUAGUCUUCCAAACUUCUGAAUUGGGUCGUCCGUCACUAGAAAUUUGAGAGGAACUUGCUCUAUCGAUAAUUUCGAACGAAUUCAAUAAUACCUUUCAAUCCUUCAUCACAAAUUUAACCCUAGAUCCUCUGAUUCUUUAACAAUCAAAGUUCAACUAAUAGGGAAAUAUCAUUUAACUCUUCUUUUUUCCUGACUUUAGUUAAUUUUGGAAUUAGGUGCAACCUCUGUCUUGCGGAAACUUCUGCUUCCUUAACAUCAACGUGGUCGACACCUCCAAGAAUUUGUCGUAUGGCUGUUUCCAAGGUUUUAAAACCAUUGAUUUGGUAUGGGUACUCCUGGCUUUAACCCUGUGACGACGAUGCAAGAUUCACCAAGUCUUAGAUUUCAUGGUUUAUAAUAUCGCACAUAAUCUUAAUAUAUCUAAUAUGAUUUAGGUGUUAUUAUAUGUUGAUUUCUGCCACUAAAAAUCAUAGGUCAGUAUUCCUUAUGAAAUUUUAAUUAUUUAAUUUGUGAUUUGGUAAAAGGAAAUUAAAAGAGCAAGCGCUAGUUUCGUUUGAUUUCCUGGAGAUGUUUGUACAGGGAUUUGGAGUUGUUUAUUAUAUGGAAUUGGACUUUAUUAUUUACUGCUGGUGAUUCUUUUUGAAAACUAGUUGAAACACGAUCUAACAAAACAAUAUUGGUCCCAUUUUUUUUUCUUUUCUUUUUUUUUUCUAUAAAACCCAGUUCAAUAGGGAUUAACCACUGUAGGUCUAGGUCCAUGGAGUUAAAACUUGAUGCAGUAGUAGAUUGAUAGGUUGGAUGUAUGAUUAUGUAAAUUGGAAACUAUAUGUAUGUGUUAUAUGUAACUUGGAUGAUAGAUUGAUGUUGAUGUUGGUGUUGUUAAACUAAAACAAGUGGAAAUUGAUAUUAAUAUUUAAUAUUUCCAAAUUUUAGGUUCAUAUUACACCCUCUAAUGGAACAUUGGCCAGAGCUAGAGACAUACCGCCUACUGCUGCUUUAACAUGUAUUAUAGUGUGGUUUCUAUUGGUAUAGUGUGGUUUCGAUUGGUUUCUUGAUAGUAUAUGUUAUGGAUGUAGUAUACUAAUAAAUAAUUUAUACAAAAACAUGCUUCCUUAUAGAUUCUUUUUAUAAGAUCAUGUAUGAUUGGACUUAUAAAUGGUUUAUAUCUAUUUUCUAUUCACAAGCAUAUUAGCAUAUAUGAAGCCCUAGAGUUAAGAAAUGCAGAUUAUGAGUAUCUACGAAAAGGAGUGAUCUCAUUUGAUAUUCUAUAUCACAAUUUGCAUUAAUGAAAUUUUUUAGAAGGAUAAAUGGUUAUUAUAUGUAGAAAUUUCAAUACUUUUGGCUUAUGUUUUUUUUUUGUUUUCUUUACCAUAUUUUUAGAUUUGUUAUAAGUACAAGUUCUUUUGGCUAUUUUAAUUAGGGAUCUUAUGUAUGAAUUUGUAUUUCAAUUAUUAAUAAUAUUGAUUUAUUUUUAUUGUUUCAUAUUGUUGAUUUAUGGUUACUUUCAUUUAUAUUGUUUUGAUGUGUAUGAAAUAAAGCUAAAGUAACAAUAAAAAAAUUGAAUUAAUGUCACCGAAUGUUAAACAAUAAUAACACUUCAAAUUUUUCUUGUGUCUAUAAUAUAAAUGUGGCCAUAUUUUUAAGUUUUUCAAUGUCUCUAAAAUUAUACAAUAGUCGCUCUACAUUAUUUUUGACAUGUGGCUAAAUGGUUAAUAAUAACCAUGAUCUAAACUAAAUAUGUGUCUACAUGUCUUUUAAGAUCAUGUUUUGUCGAGUUUUUGUGACGACAACUUAACCAAUAACAACAUUGAAAAAAAAUAUGUGUCAAAUAAAUCACAUUUCACUAAAUUCAAUACUCUGUGACUAAUAAUUCCUAUAUCAUCACGAUUAGAUAAUAUUUGUGCGUCAGAAUAUAAACCAAACGACAUGUUAAUAUACAUAUAACGUGACAAUAUGGAAGACAAUAGUCAUGUUCAUCUAUUGUUUAUAUACGAUAGGCAAUAGUCACAAUGAAAGAUUAUUUUUGUGACUAAUUAUUAGUAAAUCGCCACUUAUGAAAUUAAUUACAUGUGGCCAUUUAGCGAACAUUGUGAUGUUCACCAUAAUUACAUGUUUACAAAAGAUACUGAAUAGUCUUAAUAAACUUUAAACUGUGUGACAAUAUAUUAGUAAAACAACAUACUAAAACAAUAUGCAUGUCGCAAGUUGGUGAUAUACAGUCACUACAAUUAUUAAAUAAAUGUGUCCACUGAUGGUUUAAUGUCACAAUAUUGGAUAAAAUGAUUAAUUUUAGUAACAAAAUUCCCUACCCAUUAGCCACACUUUUAUAAUAUGGUCACAUUUUUUCAUAUCAUACGGGCACUACAUUUUAAAGUGACCAUAACACCCAUACGAUGAGUCACCUUCUGUCAAACUUUUAGUGAAAAAAUAAAAUGUCACUAUACGCAUAUGGUCACACUUUUAGUGUGCCCGUAGCUAAUUUUUUUACUAGUGUCAAUACUAAUUAAAUAACAUGAUUCCAUAUUAAUAUAUUAGAACUUAUAAUAUAUUAAUAUAAACCAUAAACAUACGAUUCUCAAAAGACUAUCCAUAUAAAUAGUUCCGGUGAAGUGCAACCCAAACGUACCGUGCCAAGUCGGGUCGAAUACAUACCAAUAAUACUUAUGGGCUUAGACAUAUAAUCCAACAGAUUCUUAGUAUAGAUAAGAUACAAUCUCUUCAAUAAUGGGAUAUACUUGUAUAGACUAGUAUAUAUUCAACAUUAGGAUGAAACCGUAAUGUAUAUAUCUACGGAUUGGUGUCAUUGAUCAUCUUUUGACCGUCCUUAUGACAAACCCGUUUUCUUGGUGAAAACAAACUCUUUCUUGGCGAAAGACAAUUCGUAGAAUAUCUUUUGUUUUAUACUUUAUGUAAUUUUUUUUAGAUUAGUUUUCUUUUGCUCUUUAUUGUUGAAGUGUACCCGAUCGAUACAAACCUUCAACGACACACUUUUGUUCCAUAUAGGUAGUGCCUAAAAAUUUUCAAAGCAAACACUACAACUCCCAACUCUAUGUCAUGGGUCAUGUUGUUUGUCUCGUUUGGUUUAAGUUGUCGGGAUACGUAUGCAAUGACCUUAUGCCUUUACAUUAGAAUGCAUCAUAACCCUUGGUGUGAGACAUAUUAGAACACUACAAAGUCUUCAGUUCCUUCUGGUGGAGAGAAAAUUGGUGCACUGCACAAUAGUUGCCUCAAAUUCUGGAAGGCAGACUCGUGGAUGUCUCCCUAAUUGAAAUUUUGUGUUUCUGGUUUAGAACGGUGAGAGGCUUGGGUAUUUUAGAGAAGUUCUCGACGAAUCUCUGAUAGUAACCUGCAAGCCCUUGGAAUUGGCGUAUUUUUUUAGCGCCAUUGGUGCUUUCCAAUCCUUAACUGCUUUGAUCUUUUUGGGAUCGACUUGAAUACCUUUACCGCUAACCACAUGGCCAAGGAAAUGCACUUCGUUAAUCUAGAACUCACAUUUAGUGAACUUUCCAUAAAGUUUCUCUUUUCUUAAAAGUUCUAGGAUUAAAAGCAAGUGUUGGUCGUGUCCUUCCUUGGUUCGUGAAUAUAUUAAUAUUCAUCGAUGAAAACGAUCACAAAUUUAUCUAAGUAUGGUUUGCAUACCCGAUUCAUAAGGUCCAUGAAUACGGCUGGUAUGCUAGUCAGUCCAAAGGCCAAAACCAGAAGCUACUAGUGAUCGUACCAAGUCCUGAAUGUCGUAUUUAGGAUAUUUGCUUCUUGAAAUAUGAGUUGAUGGUGGUCGAAUCUUAGAUCGAUCUUUGAGUAGUAGCAGGAUCCUUGUAGCUGGUCGAACAGGUGAUCGAUCCUUGGGAGUGGAUUUCGGUUUUUGAUGGUGAGCUUGUUCAAUUCUCGAUAGUCAAUGCAUAUUUUGGACGAACCAUCCUUCUUUUUAACAAACAAUAUCGGAGCUCCCUGAGGAGAAAAGCUUGGCCGGAUAAAGCCUUUGUCAAGAAGCUCUUGUAGUUGACUCGAUAGUUCUUGCAUUUCUAAUGGAGCCAGACAAUAAGGAGAUCUUUCCACUAGUGUUGCACCCUAGAUUAGGCCGAUUCAAAAUUCGACUUGUCUGACUGCAGGUACUCCAAGUAGAUCGUAUGGAAAUACGUUCGGGUAAUCGCAUUCUUUUGGUAUGUCUUUGAUUUCCUUACCCUUGCCUUGCAUAUCCACCACAUGGACCAUGAAAUCGAAUCAUCUCUUCUGCAAACACUUUCUCGCUUUCAUGAAAGUGAUGACUCCUAGGUUCUUCCCUGAUUUAUCUUCGUAAAUCACAAGGUCUUUGUUGUUGAGUAAUGGUAAUUGAACGACCAUUUCAUAACAUAAGAUUUCCACUCGGUGCAGUGAUAACCAAUCCAUUCUGAUGCUCAUAUCAAAACUUCCAAUGGUCAUUGGCAUUAGGUCGACAUGGAAGAUGUGAUUAUUCAGGGUGAGAAGGUAGUUGGUUAGUAUCUCUAAAGUUAUUUCAAUUUGCCAAUUUACUACUUCUACCGUGUAAGUAUCAUUUAAUUUGCAUGAUUUAUGGUUUAUCAUUCUCCUAAACUUAUGGGUAAUAAGGUUUAUGUCAACACCGGUGUCAAAUAAUACGGAAGCAUAAAUAUUAUUGAUAGGAAAUGUACCAGUAACCACAGUUGCUUCCUGACGUUCAUUUCCUGCACCUAUCAUGAAUGCCCUUACUUUACCACCCUGGUUCUUCAGUUUAGGGCAAUCCUUCUUGAAAUGAUCUGGUUGGUUGCAUUCAAAGCCGUUUCGGAUUCCCCAUAUAGGAGUGGUUGAGGCUGAAUUGUUCGGUGCCUUUCUGCAUAACUUAAAGGUGUGGCCCCUCAAAUUAUAGAUGUUGCAGAUCAAGCAAUUUCCAACAUGGUGGAAGUUGCACUUAUUACAGUGGGGUAGAGUUCCAACAUAGGGCUUUUUUGGAGUGGGAGUGUUUGUGAUUGCGACAUACAUAGUCAUUGGUUCUGGGUUUGGCUUACGAUGUUUGAAGUUCCCUUUCGAGUUCCCAUGGAACUUCCUUUUUGUACUCCCAGGUUGGUUCUUCUAUUUUGGUGGGGUCAUGGUACUCUGGUAGAUACUGUGACAACCCGAAAUUUUCAUUCGGUCAAACCCUAAAAGCCAAUCACUUCAUAUUAUAAGUCAAUUUCAUUUCCAAUUGUUUUUAACAAUUUUAAAGUUAGUUUGACUAUUAUAAUAAUUAUUCUUUAAACGAUCGGGUGAAAGGAUGUGCCGUCUUGAGUCUUGAAAUUUCAAAACCGCGAAUACCAUGUAGCUUAGAAGUUCACGACCACACUUUUAUUUUUAGGCCUUAAUUUACCCCAAAAAAUGUAAACUCAUGCUUAAGCAUGAGUUUACUCCCCAAAACACUUCAUUUCUCAUUUGCAAGCUCAAGAGUAAACUCCAAAACUCUCUCAGGUAUCAUCCAAGUUUUUAUUCAAUAUCUUCAAUCUAGUAAGUGUUUCUAGCCCUUUCAAGUUAGAAUAUCACUUAAUCUAGUGAUUGUACAUCUUUUCAUCCAUCCAUUUAUGUGUUUUGACUAGAUUUCCAAAACACCAAGAACACACACUAGUGUUCUUGGGCCCUUAGCACCUUUUCGAGCUUCUAACUUGUAAGUGCUUCUAUCCUAGAGUCUUACAAGCUUUGUUACACUUCUAUACAUCUAGAAAUAGUCCAAGAACACCAAGAUCAAAUGUGUUUACGGUCCAAGAACACCUUGGACCGUAUACCCUAUUUAGGGUGCCAAAGUGUGCUUUAUCUUAUCUUUAGCCUUGGGUAUUAACUUAAAAUCCUUCCUUGAUGUGUUUAGCACAUGAAAACCACCAAAAUCCCUCAUUUAUAUGUGGUUACGGUUUGGGGAUCUCCCAAAACCGUAAACACCCCUAAGAGGUGUAAAAAUGGCCCUAGUCCCUUCACAAGCCUAGGAAACUAGUCUAGAUUUAUUCCUUGUUAUGCUUGGGACUUGAAAACAUCAAAAUACCUUAGUCCAUAAUAUUUUAUGGUAGUAAACUCAUUGAGAAAUGGUCCAUGGACAGUAAAAUCCAUUUAGGAGUGUAUUGAUGCCACAAUACAUUUCCUAAGGCCUAAACAUGAAGUAGGAAUGCUUGCAAUGGCUUAGAAGACUUCAAACCAAAAAAUGGUCAAAAGGUUAUGAGCUUACGGCCGUAAACUCAAGAGUUUACAACCGUAAACUCAAGGGGUGUUGGUCUUUAGGGAGUAAACUCAUAUUAGGGGUUCCCUUGAACACUAAAACCCAAUAACCUUGCCCUACAACACUUAGAUGCACUCCUUAGCACUUAUAACACUUAUACAACGUGUUUAUCAUGCCAUAGGAUGUCUUACAAUUGUUUAUUAGUUGUUUAGAGACUAAUUGGGUACACAUAUGUGAUAUUAUAUGUUAUCUAGGAUCAUAGAGUGUGUACAAGUCUUCACUUGACACCUAGCAUCCUAUUUCAGUCCGUUCAUCCCAACCACUUGCUACAGGUGAGUUCAUACCCCCUUAAUCAAUGGUUUAAAUGUUUUUAAAUGAUUUUAUGGGGGGGGAUACAAGUUGAAUACUUAUGGUUAUUAUAUCAAUCACAUGUGAUUAAUAACUAACAAAACCAGUGAUUUUCUUAUUGUUCAAAUGGUUUAUCAAACUGUUUUGCUUCAAACCGUUUUACAAACUCUUAUUCUUAUCAAAUACGUUUACUUAAGCUCUGUUAUACUUAUUAUCAAAUGCAUGCCUAUGUAUGUAUAGUUAUAUAAGCAAUGUUUAAAAGGCUUAGGAAGGCCAGCUCGCUUUGUUUCCUUUUCCCCGUUGGGAUGUGUUCUGGUAAGGUAUCGGGUAUCCGUUCGAAGGUCGUUUAAAUAUUAGUUAUAUAUCAUGUGUACAUAUAUAGUCAUAAAGGUUCGUCGAGUCAGUUCAAUACCCUUGGGUAGCAAGGGUAUACUUCCAUGUUCAUACGUACCAGUUACAUCACUAAUAAGUUACCAUAGGGGUAGCACAAGAGGAUACAAUACUAUUACUAGCAUAAUGAAAAAUACAAUGAGUCGGUUCAUUCAUGAGUCAGUACAUUACUAUACAUGCUAGAUAGAGAGAGAACAUACAUUACAACUAGUACACGCAGAACAUUACAGUACAUACAAGCUAGACAGAGAAAGAGUACACUUUCAGUUAGUACACUCAUUACAUGUACAUUCAUGCAGUUAUGUGAACCAUUAGACGGGUCAUGGCACUUCCUGCCAUGACCGUUUUUGUAUCCCGAAUCUCCUUAAUUAGGGAGCGUAUGAGUUUGCGUAUAGAUCUAUACUGGAUUGACUAUCCUACACCUUGUUGCUUGCUACAGUGGGACUUGCAAGUCUACGGAUGCCAAAUGUCAUUUCUUACGGCGUCUUACAUCGUCGUUUUACUAGAGUCGGUAGUAGGAUACAAGUCAAUAACAUGUUACUUUAAAUUACAAUAGAUUUAAAGUAGUUAGUACGGUUGUAGUUAUUUGAUACUACACCAUAGUACUAUUUCAUUUUCCCAUUACAUUCACUUCAUGAACAUUCAUACAAUGCACGGUAAUGUAGAAGCUAUAUUUUGGUUAAUGAUAGUCGGGUUUGGGAAAAUACACACUCUUACAGGAGACACAUAUAGAUACUAGAUGCCUUGGUAGAAGGCUAAUCUCAGUAGGAAGCAUAGGGCUUUCUAGAAUGUUCAAAACAUUUUCAUACUUACACUUCAUUCAUGUACAAAUACUUACAGUUCAUGUACAUACAAAUACUUACAUUUCAUAUACAUACAAAUACUUACAUAAAAAUUAAGGCACUAAAAUAAUUAUGAUCUCACCAGCUUUAAAGCUGAUACUUGUUUUCAAAAUAACUUGUAUCCUCAGGUCAACGAUAGACAGGUACAGAUGCAAGGUUUAGAGAAGACGGAGCUCGUUCAAGACUCAGCUGUCAUUUGGAUUUAUACUUUAGUGUCUAUUAGACAUAUCAGAACACUUGUAUUAAAAUUUAUAUUAUUAAUGCAAUGGAUGAUGUUUUUGCUUCUUUACUACUAUUCAUUGUUGUGAUACUGUACAUGACGUCCUCCGCCCCAGAACGUUUCCGCCGUUCAUGGUUUUGGGGUGUGACAGAUUGGUAUUAGAGCAUUGUUUAUAGUGAAUUAAGUAUAUCAACCCAUAAAAGAUAUACAGACUAUAAAUAC